AUACGGAGGAUGCAAGCGUUAUCCGGAUUUAUUGGGUUUAAAGGGUGCGUAGGCGGUUUGCUAAGCGGGAGGUGAAAUGCCGGCGCUCAACGUCGGAAGUGCCUCCCGAACUGGUGGACUGGAAUGACUCUGACGUGGGAGGAAUGUGUAGUGUAGCGGUGAAAUGCUUAGAGAUUACACAGAACACCGAUUGCGAAGGCAUCUCACGAAGGGUUGAUUGACGCUGAGGCACGAAAGCGUGGGGAUCAAACAGGAUUAGAUACCCUGGUAGUCCACGCAGUAAACGAUGAUGGCUAACCGCUGGUUUAUUCGGAUCAGUGGCCAAGCGAAAGCGAUAAGCCAUCCACCUGGGGAGUACGACCGCAAGGUUGAAACUCAAAUGAAUUGACGGGG
RNAcentral lists this ribosomal RNA (393 nucleotides) under uncultured bacterium. RNAcentral's name for it is "partial 16S ribosomal RNA". It matches the Rfam family "Bacterial small subunit ribosomal RNA", at positions 523 to 918 of the family's 1533-position model. The record is from RNAcentral.